This 245-nucleotide ribosomal RNA is filed under the name uncultured bacterium. Its description in RNAcentral is "partial 16S ribosomal RNA". It matches the Rfam family "Bacterial small subunit ribosomal RNA", at positions 528 to 772 of the family's 1533-position model. The record is from RNAcentral.
UAGGGAGCAAGCGUUAUCCGGAAUUAUUGGGUGUAAAGGGGGCGUAGACGGGAAUACAAGUUAGUUGUGAAAUCCCUAGGCUUAACUGAGGAACUGCAACUAAAACUAUAUUUCUUGAGUGCGGGAGAGGAAAGUGGAAUUCCUAGUGUAGCGGUGAAAUGCGUAGAUAUUAGGAGGAACACCAGUGGCGAAGGCGACUUUCUGGACCGUAACUGACGUUGAGGCACGAAAGUGUGGGGAGCAAA